RNAcentral lists this small nuclear RNA (23 nucleotides) under Arabidopsis thaliana (thale cress). Its description in RNAcentral is "snRNA_07976". The record is from RNAcentral. Lineage: Eukaryota; Viridiplantae; Streptophyta; Magnoliopsida; Brassicales; Brassicaceae.
AUGGUGUUGGUGGUGAGUGAUGA